Molecule: long non-coding RNA, 210 nt
Filed under: Mytilus galloprovincialis (Mediterranean mussel)
Lineage: Eukaryota; Metazoa; Mollusca; Bivalvia; Mytilida; Mytilidae
Source: RNAcentral
CAACAGACAUAUAUCUGGCGGAGAUUGGAGAUGGAUCAAAAACGGAAAAAUGACCAAGAUGACAUACUUUGCGUUUGACGGAUCGUCAUGUACCCAAAAGACUGUUUGUGUGUUACUUCAUGGUCAGAAACGAUUUAGCUUAUCUGACGAUUAUUGCGAUUCCUACUCUAUAGGUUUCAUCUGUGAAAAAUAAAUUUAAUACAAUAGCGG